Molecule: ribosomal RNA, 544 nt
Filed under: Eupezizella aureliella
Lineage: Eukaryota; Fungi; Ascomycota; Leotiomycetes; Helotiales; Hyaloscyphaceae
Description: eukaryotic LSU rRNA
Source: RNAcentral
GGUAGGUGAAACCUGCGGGAAGGAUCAUUACAGGAGUUUCAUGCCCUUUACGGGUAGAUCUCCCAACCCUUGAAUACCUUACCUUUGUUGCUUUGGCGGGCCACGUCCGCGUACCGGCUUCGGCUGGUUGCGCCCGCCAGAGGACCCAAACUCGUUUGUUUAGUGAUGUCUGAGUACUAUAUAAUAGUUAAAACUUUCAACAACGGAUCUCUUGGUUCUGGCAUCGAUGAAGAACGCAGCGAAAUGCGAUAAGUAAUGUGAAUUGCAGAAUUCAGUGAAUCAUCGAAUCUUUGAACGCACAUUGCGCCCCUUGGUAUUCCGAGGGGCAUGCCUGUUCGAGCGUCAUUAUGACCACUCAAGCCCGGCUUGGUGUUGGGGUCCGCGGUCCCGCGGCCCUUAAAAUCAGUGGCGGCGCCAUCUGGCUCUCAGCGUAGUAAUACUCCUCGCUACAGGGUCCCGGUGGCUGCUUGCCAGCAACCCCCCAUCUCACGGUUGACCUCGGAUCAGGUAAGGGAUACCCCGCUGAWCUUAACCAUAUCAAUAA